RNAcentral lists this ribosomal RNA (433 nucleotides) under uncultured bacterium. Its description in RNAcentral is "partial 16S ribosomal RNA". It matches the Rfam family "Bacterial small subunit ribosomal RNA", at positions 29 to 507 of the family's 1533-position model. The record is from RNAcentral.
AACGAACGCUGGCGGCAUGCCUAACACAUGCAAGUCGAACGACACCUCCGGGUCUAGUGGCGCACGGGUGCGUAACGCGUGGGAACCUGCCCUUAGGUACCGAAUAACUCCCUGUAGGGGGUGCUAAUACCGGAUAAUGUCCUCGGACCAAAGAUUUAUCGCCUUUGGAUGGGCGCGAGUUGGUUUAGCUGGUUGGUAGGGGAAAAGCCUAUCAAGGCAACGUUCCUUAGCUGGUUUGAGAGGAAGAUCAGCCACACUGGGGCUAAGACACAGUCCAGAAUCCUACGCAAGGGAGGAGAGGGUGAUACAGCACUACGGGGUAAGUCCUGAACCAGCUAUGCCGGGUAAGCCAUGAUGUCCGUAGAGAAGUGAAGCUCUUUUACACGGGGUGAUAAUGACGGUACCGGGAGAAUAAGCACCGGCUAACUCCGUG